This is a non-coding RNA of Potamilus streckersoni, 72 nucleotides long. Lineage: Eukaryota; Metazoa; Mollusca; Bivalvia; Unionida; Unionidae. The record is from the annotation of a GenBank genome assembly.
GCUCCUGUGGCCUAGUGGUUAUUGCGUCCGCCUUGGAUGCGGAAGAUCGUGGUUUCGAUCCACGGCCGAGUU